This 71-nucleotide transfer RNA is filed under the name Thoosa mismalolli. Its description in RNAcentral is "tRNA-Val". It matches the Rfam family "tRNA". From Rfam's summary of the family: Transfer RNA (tRNA) molecules are approximately 80 nucleotides in length. Their secondary structure includes four short double-helical elements and three loops (D, anti-codon, and T loops). Further hydrogen bonds mediate the characteristic L-shaped molecular structure. tRNAs have two regions of fundamental functional importance: the anti-codon, which is responsible for specific mRNA codon recognition, and the 3' end, to which the tRNAs corresponding amino acid is attached (by aminoacyl-tRNA synthetases). tRNAs cope with the degeneracy of the genetic code in two manners: having more than one tRNA (with a specific anti-codon) for a particular amino acid; and 'wobble' base-pairing, i.e. permitting non-standard base-pairing at the 3rd anti-codon position. Lineage: Eukaryota; Metazoa; Porifera; Demospongiae; Tetractinellida; Thoosidae. The record is from RNAcentral.
AGGUGUUUAACUCAGUUGGUAGAGAGUCGUAUUUACACUGCGAAGAGGAAAGUUCAAAUCUUUCAACACUU